AAGUCGUAACAAGGUUUCCGUAGGUGAACCUGCGGAAGGAUCAUUAAAGAGAUAGGGUUCUAACGAGCCCAACCUCCAACCCUUUGUCUACCAAACCUCUGUUGCCUCGGCGGGUCGCCGGCUCCCUUAACCGGGCGCCGCCGUCGGCCCUUGCGCUCUCGAGUGCCCGCCGCAGGACCAUUGAAACCCUUUUUUAAACGAGUAUAAUCUGAGUGGAAUUUAAUGCUUCAAUUAAAA
This 237-nucleotide unclassified non-coding RNA is filed under the name plant metagenome. RNAcentral describes it as "partial contains small subunit ribosomal RNA and internal transcribed spacer 1". The stretch from base 1 to 46 matches the Rfam family "Eukaryotic small subunit ribosomal RNA", at positions 1786 to 1831 of the family's 1831-position model. The record is from RNAcentral.